RNAcentral lists this transfer RNA (72 nucleotides) under Drepanopeziza brunnea f. sp. 'multigermtubi' MB_m1. RNAcentral's name for it is "tRNA-Arg (TCG) (tRNA-Arg-TCG-2-1)". It matches the Rfam family "tRNA". From Rfam's summary of the family: Transfer RNA (tRNA) molecules are approximately 80 nucleotides in length. Their secondary structure includes four short double-helical elements and three loops (D, anti-codon, and T loops). The record is from RNAcentral. Lineage: Eukaryota; Fungi; Ascomycota; Leotiomycetes; Helotiales; Drepanopezizaceae.
GGACCGUUGGCCCAAUGGCAAGGCGUUUGACUUCGAAUCAAAAGAUUGCAGGUUCGAUCCCUGCACGGUCCU